ACAGCAGUCGCCGCGGUAACACGGAGGGAGCUAGCGUUGUUCGGAAUUACUGGGCGUAAAGCGCACGUAGGCGGCUUUGUAAGUUAGAGGUGAAAGCCUGGAGCUCAACUCCAGAAUUGCCUUUAAGACUGCAUCGCUUGAAUCCGGGAGAGGUGAGUGGAAUUCCGAGUGUAGAGGUGAAAUUCGUAGAUAUUCGGAAGAACACCAGUGGCGAAGGCGGCUCACUGGACCGGCAUUGACGCUGAGGUGCGAAAGCGUGGGGAGCAAACAGGAUUAGAUACCCCUGUAGUCCCUGUCUCUUAUAC
RNAcentral lists this ribosomal RNA (305 nucleotides) under uncultured bacterium. RNAcentral's name for it is "partial 16S ribosomal RNA". It matches the Rfam family "Bacterial small subunit ribosomal RNA", at positions 508 to 807 of the family's 1533-position model. The record is from RNAcentral.